CUGGCUUCAUCCCACAGCUGCCUAUGGGAGCCCCAGGAGCACCAAAAUAUCAGCUUUCUUCCACCAAGAAUAGCUGACUUGGUGGUGAUACAUCCAGUUGGAAAUGCAGUGCAGAGGUGGUAAGAAUCGAUGUUGGACUGUUUGCCUAACAACCAUCUGAGAAGCUCAUAAAAAUUAUGCAAAACCCAAGGCUCAAACGGAUGAAGUCGUUUGUCCCACAUAACAGAAAGAAAGACAAUGGUACAGCAAGUGCUCACUGAGUGGCAGACGCUGCCGCCUGGGCACCGAGGCCAAGCAGAGGGGCAGCCUCAGCAGAGCAGCGAGGGAGUGGGACUGUCGGGCAGCAAGAGAAAGCCUCCGAGCACCAGACGUAUGGCCACCGGCAGGGAUGUCGGUGUCUGCAGGAGGACAACAAGGCCAAGGCCUCAGUUCAGGACUGUUUUGACAAUCACUGGGGACCAGAGGGGAAGAUCAGCCAGCCCACAGGCGCUGUCAUACUGGUCAUUUCUGGCUGUCAUCUACUGCAAUGAGGAUGCCGCAAUUCCAACUGGCCGGACAUU
Long non-coding RNA from Manis pentadactyla (Chinese pangolin), 560 nucleotides. RefSeq lists it as uncharacterized. The transcript has 5 exons. The record is from RefSeq and is a predicted model, not a curated record. Lineage: Eukaryota; Metazoa; Chordata; Mammalia; Pholidota; Manidae.